GAAUAUUGCGCAAUGGACGAAAGUCUGACGCAGCGACGCCGCGUGUGGGAGGAAGCCCUUCGGGGUGUAAACCACUGUCAGGGGGGAAGAACUCCGGUCUCGCAAAUAGUGGGUCCGGUUGACGGUACCCCCAGCGGAAGCGCCGGCUAACUCCGUGCCCGCAGCCGCGGUAAGACGGAGGGCGCAAGCGUUGUUCGGAAUUACUGGGCGUAAAGCGCGGGCAGGCGGUCUGUUAAGUCUCCUGUGAAACUCCGGGGCUCAACCCCGGACAUGCAGAAGAUACUGGCGGACUGGAGACCGGUAGAGGCAAGCGGAAUUCCUGGUGUAGCGGUGGAAUGCGUAGAUAUCAGGAAGAACACCUGUGGCGAAGGCGGCUUGCUGGGCCGGUUCUGACGCUCAUCCGCGAAAGCGUGGGGAGCAAACAGG
Molecule: ribosomal RNA, 426 nt
Filed under: uncultured bacterium
Lineage: Bacteria
Description: bacterial SSU rRNA
Rfam family: Bacterial small subunit ribosomal RNA
Source: RNAcentral